Molecule: ribosomal RNA, 250 nt
Filed under: uncultured bacterium
Lineage: Bacteria
Also listed under: 2 other names
Description: partial 16S ribosomal RNA
Rfam family: Bacterial small subunit ribosomal RNA
Source: RNAcentral
UACAGAGGGUGCGAGCGUUAAUCGGAAUUACUGGGCGUAAAGCGAGUGUAGGUGGCUCAUUAAGUCACAUGUGAAAUCCCCGGGCUUAACCUGGGAACUGCAUGUGAUACUGGUGGUGCUAGAAUAUGUGAGAGGGAAGUAGAAUUCCAGGUGUAGCGGUGAAAUGCGUAGAGAUCUGGAGGAAUACCGAUGGCGAAGGCAGCUUCCUGGCAUAAUAUUGACACUGAGAUUCGAAAGCGUGGGUAGCAAA